This 450-nucleotide ribosomal RNA is filed under the name uncultured bacterium. Its description in RNAcentral is "partial 16S ribosomal RNA". It matches the Rfam family "Bacterial small subunit ribosomal RNA", at positions 354 to 796 of the family's 1533-position model. The record is from RNAcentral.
GUGGGGAAUUUUGGACAAUGGGGGCAACCCUGAUCCAGCAAUGCCGCGUGUGUGAAGAAGGCCUUCGGGUUGUAAAGCACUUUUGUCCGGGAAGAAAUCGCACCUGAUAAUACCGGGUGUGGAUGACGGUACCGGAAGAAUAAGGACCGGCUAACUACGUGCCAGCAGCCGCGGUAAUACGUAGGGUCCAAGCGUUAAUCGGAAUUACUGGGCGUAAAGCGUGCGCAGGCGGUUGUGCAAGACCGAUGUGAAAUCCCCGGGCUUAACCUGGGAAUUGCAUUGGUGACUGCACGGCUAGAGUGUGUCAGAGGGGGGUAGAAUUCCACGUGUAGCAGUGAAAUGCGUAGAGAUGUGGAGGAAUACCGAUGGCGAAGGCAGCCCCCUGGGAUAACACUGACGCUCAUGCACGAAAGCGUGGGGAGCAAACAGGAUUAGAAACCCUUGUAGUCC